UGGGGAAUCUUGCGCAAUGGGCGAAAGCCUGACGCAGCGACGCCGCGUGAGUGAUGAAGGCCUUCGGGUUGUAAAGCUCUGUGGGGAGGGACGGAAUAGGUGGAGCCUAAUACGUUCCAUGAUGACGGUAUCUCCUUAGCAAGCACCGGCUAACUCUGUGCCAGCAGCCGCGGUAAGACAGAGGGUGCAAACGUUGUUCGGAAUUACUGGACGUAAAGCGUGUGUAGGCGGUCCGCUAAGUCGGGUGUGAAAGCCCUGGGCUCAACCCAGGAAGUGCACUCGAAACUGGCGGGCUAGAGUAUCGGAGAAGUUGGUGGAAUUCUCGGUGUAGAGGUGAAAUUCGUAGAUAUCGAGAGGAACACCGGUGGCGAAGGCGGCCAACUGGACGAAUACUGACGCUGAGACACGAAAGCGUGGGGAGCAAACAGGAUUAGAUACCCUGGUAGUCCACGCCGUAAACGAUGGGUGCUAGGUGUCGCGGGCUUUGACUCCUGCGG
This 497-nucleotide ribosomal RNA is filed under the name uncultured Pseudomonadota bacterium. RNAcentral's name for it is "bacterial SSU rRNA". It matches the Rfam family "Bacterial small subunit ribosomal RNA", at positions 355 to 843 of the family's 1533-position model. The record is from RNAcentral. Lineage: Bacteria; Pseudomonadati; Pseudomonadota.